ACACCAAUUGCGCCGAGCUCCAUCCGUUGGUGUGCGGGGACAACGAGAUACAACCCGGAUGGAGGCGGGGGACCCACUGGUCCCACCGAGGACCUGGAACCGAAUUCGGUUCCUUGGGGUGAAGCCGACGUCGAUGACGACGACGGCCGGGCAACCUCUCCAGCCCGAACCCGACAGCUGACCUCGCACGCGCUUACGAGAGGACCC
Molecule: small RNA, 207 nt
Filed under: Mycolicibacterium parafortuitum
Lineage: Bacteria; Bacillati; Actinomycetota; Actinomycetes; Mycobacteriales; Mycobacteriaceae
Description: Mycobacterium parafortuitum c-di-AMP sequence
Rfam family: c-di-AMP riboswitch aptamer (ydaO/yuaA leader) (bases 44-207)
About the family: This family represents a conserved RNA structure found upstream of the ydaO and yuaA genes in Bacillus subtilis and related genes in other bacteria. The ydaO/yuaA element is thought to act as a genetic "off" switch for the ydaO and yuaA genes in its native state.
Source: RNAcentral